Meriones unguiculatus (Mongolian gerbil) is the source of this 3947-nucleotide long non-coding RNA. RefSeq lists it as uncharacterized. The transcript is spliced from 2 exons. NCBI's taxonomy places the organism in Eukaryota, Metazoa, Chordata, Mammalia, Rodentia, Muridae. The record is from RefSeq and is a predicted model, not a curated record.
UAUAAUGCAUAGUGUGUACCAGGCAAUUGUUUAAAUUCGUCUGUCCUCAAAAAGUUCUGGGAAAGGGCUGCCCUGUUAAUAUUUAAUAUGUACUUACUGGCAUUUAUUUACAGGUUUUUCUGAGCUCAAACAACCUCUCUUGGAUCAUUGCUUUCUUUGUUACAUUUGUGUGCAAAAGUUCACAGAAACUGAACUAAGGUUGACUACAGCAUUGCACUAGUCUACCCAUCCUUCAGUUCCUCAGAUCCCAGGUCCAGCUGACAAGAUCUGCACAGGUUGGCUGAAAAGUCAACGCAUAUGACGUGCUCUAUAACUUAACUGUGGGGCCCACAGCUCCAGUUUCCUGGAAGGUGACAAGAGAUGACGAAUAGGAUCAGAGCUGGUCAUCACAGUCAUUAUGGUUACUUCUUGAUGCCUCCUGUUCACUUUCCUUGGGGAAGCUGGCACCAAGUUGUAAGUCGCAGGGAGAGGGACAAAGGACAGGGACUGGCCUCCUGCCAGGAACCAACAGAGAACUGGCUGAAGACUUCUUCCCACAGCCAGGUAAGUGCAUCAACAGCCCCAGCCAAGCCCCAAGAGGAGAGCUGCUCAGCUGGACCACUCAGCUACUGGCCCUCUGAUAGCUCACGAAGUCAUGUUUGUUGGUUCUUAAGCAGCCAGAGCUUGGAUUUGUUAUUCAGAAAUUAUGACUAAUACAAGCUAAGAGGAAAACAAUCCUCUAGAUAAACAAGGACAGAAUUAAACAGGAAACAUUGCCGCCCUGCUAACUGUGUUUUAAUGCUAGCAAGAAUUUCACACCCUCUAAGAGAGUCACAAUGGAAUAGUUACCAUUUUAAAGCACUCUGAUACUUGUCAACCAAAGACAGAAGACAACUGACUGGAGAAGAUGAAUGUGGUUUUCUUCUCUGGUGCACUAAGGAACUUUUCGAUAGAGAUGCUCUCUACUUUGAAAAUUACUCACAGUUUGAGACCACCUCCACCAUCUGUUUUCCAUAAGGAAUCUAAAGUAGUCUGGAUUAUGAAACAGAUACAUAAAGAUUUUUAGAAAUUAAAAGUAAGCCAGGUGCAGUGGUACAUGCCUAUAAUCCCAUCACCCAGGAGACUGAAGCAAGGGCACCAGCUGAGUCCAGAGACAUUGCAGACCAGCCUAAGCAACACAGUAAGACCACCAGUCUCACCACUAACAAAUUAAAAACAGAAACUGCAAACAGCAAUCAAUGACAGCACAAAAAGAUGUGCAGCAAAUUAAAAUUUAGCACCACGAAGUCACAAGGAGAAAGAAACGGCAGCCCCGGCUGCCAGGAAUCAGUCUGUGGUUCUGCUGGCAGAAGCUUGGAUGCAUUCUUUAUAAGCCUCUCAGCUCACUUAGGUUAGUGACCUGCUUCCUUAGACUGUGACCUGCCUCUGCCAUCUCAGUGCUUCUGUUGGGAGCCAAGCACUGCUCAGUUUAAAGUCUGGAGAUGCCUUAAUGUGGGUAGAAAAAUGGCCUCAUGAAGGUUACCCUAGAAGGUGGGUAUGAGGUGACCAGGGCCCUCCUCUUGUACAAUUGCAAGUCACUGUUUAGGGAUUGCUUACAGUGCCCUAAAGUUAAGGUAUUUGGGGAAAGCAGUCUUGUGGGGUCAUUUCCAGUAGAAAAUGGAGCAACUUACAAAAUAAGAGUCAGUUAAAUCCGAAGGUUUCUUAGCCAUCGACUGGAAAUCCUCCUCCACAGCUAUAUGAGCCAGAAACACCAUAGCUCCCAGACCAGCAUUUUUGCUCCAUAAAUUCCCUCCUCCUCCUCCACCCAAAUCCUACCCAACCCACCCCCCACCCCCUGUUGCCUCAGCCUUCCUGGGGAGAACUACUAAGAUGUUAUGGGCAUUUGAAGAGUUAUUUGAGGUCUAGCUUCGUGACCAUCUGAGUGAUAAAUGUUUCUAAGAAAUAAAGUCUGCCUAAAACACCCAACUGAUCGGUUGUCUCCAACAAUUCAACAGCUACUGGCUUCUCACAGUGCCUGGAGGACUGGAAUCAGAGGCAUUGGAGAGAGGGCUAUGGAGAGAGAGGGUUCACACACAUUCAUCAACACACGACUGAGGCAAACGUGGAAAGACAGCACCUGGUGUUCCCUGCAGCCUGGUCCCUGCUUAAUUCUUGACGCAUUCUGCAGGCUGGGUGUCAGCAGCUGAAGGAUGGUCAGUCUGCGCUAGAAUUGGACCUGCUGUGAUGUUAAUGAAGAGCUGCUAGCAGGCCUGCUGGAAGGCAAUUUAGAUAUACAUAAUUAUGAUUUAAUCCCUCGCCCUGUGACAUCAAAAAGGUCUCUGCCCAAGUGCACACUGCCUGGUUUCGUGCAGCAAAGAGCACAGCUGCGCACUCCUGUUCCCUUUGUGUGUCGCGCUCACACUGGCCAUGAUAGCUUUAUUAACUGGUGUGACCCGACCUAGUUCUUCACACAGGGCACUAUCUCCUAAUCAAAACCACAAAGUGGCUGAGCGGCCUGUGAAAAGAAAUCAGGGGCUGCAUCUAAAAUGUCAGAUUAGCUGCUGUAGAUGGGGAAGACGUUGACAGGGAUGGAGAUGGUUGGAACAGUCCCAGCCCUCUUGUGGGAGCAGCGAGAGGUGAUGCUUUCAGCAGUCAGAGAUCAAAGGGUCCACAAGGCUGUCUUUUAGAAUGCAGUGCUAGCUCCUGGGAUGAGCGUCCUGGCAGAGAAUGGCCAUGUACACACAGCAGGUUCUAGGGUCAAGGAGAAUUCAUGUUGAAGCAAUGAUGCUUCCCAUCCUCUGGCCUCCAAGAAAGACUGGACACUGGCUGAGAACAUUAGAGGCCUCCCGGGGAAGGUCAGCUUUCCCUUCAGAAAACAGCAUCAGAAGCAUCAAAAUAUCUGAACCAGAUGCCAAGGCACCACCAAAACAAGCCAGACUUAGCCAUCCAUCUCAAUAUGCCAGUCAAAGAGAUGAAUGACGACAAAAAGCAAUGUGGAUGCUUUGGGGAAAGGACCCCAUGUCUUCUGAGAUGAGGUUUAGGGUGAAACAUGGGGAAGAGGUAUGCAUAACCAUGUAGUCCUGGUCAAGGCACAGUCCUGCCCAUCACUGAACCAACAUUUUCUCAAUUUCACACUAGCCUGCAAAUGGUCCAGUACAUUGCUACACGGCAACUGCAGCCCAAUAAAUGUUUGCGCUAUUAAUUGCUGAGGGUGCAGGCCCACUUUCUUGAGCAAUUGUCCUCGUCUGGAAGUAGAGGGAAUGUUCUGGGAGGUUUUCCUGGAAUUCAAGGUUACUUAAGAGGAAAGAUUAAGGACUACAAUUUAUCUCUGUGCGUUCAGCUAAAGCACAGACAAAAAAUACAAACAAAGAUGUCAUGCUGGGCUUUGAUCCUGCUUCAUUUACUUUGCAGGUCAGAGACAAUGCUUUUUAGCAAAAGCAGCUGCUUCUAGGUUCUUGUUUCAGUGAUUUCUGUUUUGAAAUGUGGAGGCAGUUUAAGGUCACAGGUGUGCGGGAGCAAUAGAGAUUAUGUUCAAGCUUCUGUGGAUAAAUGUAGAAAAGGGUCAGGGAUAUUUUCAGAAGUGCACGGCAUUUGAGCUUGGCCAAAGCAUGGUGCUGUGGGUUCAACUGCAUCUCCUAACCUAUGUGUACUGAAAUGUUAACCCCUUGAUACUCAAGACAUCUUUUAGGAAGGUCAGCUGAUGAGACUGACAAUCACCAUGGAAACACGCCACUGGGCAGUCUGUUAAUUGAGCUGGGAAGACCUACCCUGAAUGUGAGCCACAGUCUUCCAUGGGCUGCAGUCUGGGACUGAAUAAACAGGAGAAAGAGAGCUGAUCAAAAGCAGCCUCUAUCACCCUCUGCUUCCUGACUGCAGAAAACCAGCUGCCUCUUGCUCCAGCUGCCUCCUGCUCCUGCGGCCACGCCUUCCCAGCCGUUAUUGUAUCCUUACCUCACACAGAGCCAAAUAAACCUUCCUUCUUUACCUUG